GAUGAACGCUGGCGGCGUGCCUAAUACAUGCAAGUAGAACGCUGAAGGAGGAGCUUGCUCUUCUGGAUGAGUUGCGAACGGGUGAGUAACGCGUAGGUAACCUGCCUGGUAGCGGGGGAUAACUAUUGGAAACGAUAGCUAAUACCGCAUGACAACAGUUAUUGCAUGAUAACUGUUUAAAAGGGGCAACUGCUCCACUACCAGAUGGACCUGCGUUGUAUUAGCUAGUUAGUGAGGUAACGGCUCACCAAGGCGACGAUACAUAGCCGACCUGAGAGGGUGAUCGGCCACACUGGGACUGAGACACGGCCCAGACUCCUACGGGAGGCAGCAGUAGGGAAUCUUCGGCAAUAGACGGAAGUCUGACCGAGCAACGCCGCGUGAGUGAAGAAGGUUUUCGGAUCGUAAAGCUCUGUUGUAAGAGAAGAACGAGUGUGAGAGUGGAAAGUUCACACUGUGACGGUAUCUUACCAGAAAGGGACGGCUAACUACGUG
This 495-nucleotide ribosomal RNA is filed under the name uncultured bacterium. RNAcentral's name for it is "partial 16S ribosomal RNA". It matches the Rfam family "Bacterial small subunit ribosomal RNA", at positions 28 to 507 of the family's 1533-position model. The record is from RNAcentral.